GGGGCAACCUGGCGGCGAGCGGCGAACGGGUGAGUAAUGCAUCGGAACGUGUCCAUGUCGUGGGGGAUAGCCCGGCGAAAGCCGGAUUAAUACCGCAUACGCCCGAGAGGGGAAAGUGGGGGACCGCAAGGCCUCACGCGAUUGGAUCGGCCGAUGUCCGAUUAGCUAGUUGGCGGGGUAAAGGCCCACCAAGGCGAUGAUCGGUAGCUGGUCUGAGAGGAUGAUCAGCCACACUGGGACUGAGACACGGCCCAGACUCCUACGGGAGGCAGCAGUGGGGAAUUUUGGACAAUGGGGGCAACCCUGAUCCAGCCAUUCCGCGUGAGUGAAGAAGGCCUUCGGGUUGUAAAGCUCUUUUGUCCGGAACGAAACGGGCGACGUGAAUAUCGUCGUCUACUGACGGUACCGGAAGAAUAAGCACCGGCUAACUACGUGCCAGCAGCCGCGGUAAUACGUAGGGUGCGAGCGUUAAUCGGAAUUACUGGGCGUAAAGCGUGCGCAGGCGGUUUUGUAAGCCGGAUGUGAAAUCCCCGGGCUUAACCUGGGAAUGGCAUUCGGGACUGCAAGGCUGGAGUGCGGCAGAGGAGACUGGAAUUCCUGGUGUAGCAGUGAAAUGCGUAGAUAUCAGGAGGAACACCGAUGGCGAAGGCAGGUCUCUGGGCUGACACUGACGCUCAUGCACGAAAGCGUGGGGAGCAAACAGGAUUAGAUACCCUGGUAGUCCACGCCCUAAACGAUGUCGACUGGUUGUUGGGGGUUUGACACUCUCAGUAACGAAGCUAACGCGUGAAGUCGACCGCCUGGGGAGUACGGCCGCAAGGUUAAAACUC
This 830-nucleotide ribosomal RNA is filed under the name uncultured beta proteobacterium. RNAcentral's name for it is "bacterial SSU rRNA". It matches the Rfam family "Bacterial small subunit ribosomal RNA", at positions 76 to 902 of the family's 1533-position model. Lineage: Bacteria; Pseudomonadati; Pseudomonadota; Betaproteobacteria. The record is from RNAcentral.